Molecule: long non-coding RNA, 4010 nt
Filed under: Nicotiana benthamiana
Lineage: Eukaryota; Viridiplantae; Streptophyta; Magnoliopsida; Solanales; Solanaceae
Description: long non-coding RNA (NBEN_LNC005949)
Source: RNAcentral
CCAAUUUCACUCUAUUGACCUAAUCAACUACUCUCUCACACCCUUGACGAUUUAUCUCUCUCAGACAAUUAGACUUUCCUUAGUCCUCUCGCUCGAUAGUCAGAGAAAAUUUACAGCAGCUUUCAGUUAUUAGUGAAGGUCAUUAUUCUGUGGUUUAUCAAGGAUUGUGAGUCCCCUUUUCUCUUUGAACUCUACUUCUUACUAUAACUCUAUUUUCUGGUUCUAGUAAUCUUGAAUUAAGUUCUUGAGCUUUAUCUUUGUUGUGGAAUCCCUAUUUAAUUUUGGUUUGAAACUUUGAAUUUUCUAUUAUAUCUUUGUAGAAAUGUACUGUUAUUGAUGUCAUCUCCUAAAACAGUAAGGAAGGUUUUCCUAUGGGAAAUUUUAUCAAACACAUUAUGGGCAUCGGUAUUGCUUUGGUUUUCCUAAGGAAAAGAUUAAUGUUUUUUGGUUGUUGAUGUGGAAAUGACGUUCAAUAUUUGUAUGGGAUGAUGGAAAUCUAUGUUGCACCAAAAGGUACUGGCAAAACCAUUUGACCCAUUUAAAUUUAAUUUGAAGGCCGGAAAUGAUACAAAAGACAUGGUGCAGUAAUAAUGUCUUAUGUCUAAACAUGAACAUAUGAAGCGAUAUAUACUGAAUUUUGUUGCUUAUGGACAAUGUUCUUCUGCCAAAAAAGAUUGAUGCUAAUAUGAAUAGAAAUAAAAUGUGGAUAAAGGGGUUGGAACUUGGGCACCGCUAAGUCUAAGAGGCUUAACUGUCUUAGUAUGUUUGCAUAUGCAUGGAAUAGUACCUGUCGUUCUAGUGUGGGUCUGAACCUAAGAGUGAGAGAGAGAACCUGGCAAUGAUACAUUCUUUUCUAUUAGAUUCAUGACAUAGCAGUAUUUUGUAGAGCAACUUUCUUUGGCGAAAUCCUCCAAUAAUAGAUUGUCUCCUUUGAAGUAUAAUUAAAGUUGGUGCCAUGUUUCUGUCAUAAACUGCUUGGGGAUGCAUAUAUAGUUUUUGUUUAAAUGCUUAAUUGACUCUUUUUUCACUUUUCAUGUGCACUUAGAAAUGUCUUAUAAUAUCAAUUUAGCUUCUUUUUUUUUUGUAGAAAAGUAUGGAGUCUCAAAAUGAAAAAAAUUCAGUUGGUUCAUCUUCUAGUACUUUUUCUAUAGAGAGUGAGAAUCAAUUGCAUAUGCAAGUCGAUGAAGUUACUACUGAAGUUAUUGAUGAAACAGGAAAAGAAAACUUAUUUCUGACACAUGGAAGCCUUUUAAACCGGUGAUGAUUAAUCGUCUUUGUUUUGGUAUUUGUAAGUAUUGUAAUACUCGUCUCAAAUCAACAAGAAAUUAUGGGACAUCGUCCAUGUUAGAUCAUAUCCGUAGUCGAUGUCGCAGAAAGACAAGUAACUUGGACAAUUAUUGUAGUUCCGGGGGUGAUGGUAGUCAACAACAUUAUUUUGAUCAAGAUGUUUCACGCAGAGAACUAGCUCAUGCUAUCAUUUUGCACGAGUAUCCAUUGUCCAUUGUUGAUUAUGUAGGACUUAGGAAGUUUGUUGCUAGUCUCGAACCGUUGUUCAAAAUGGUGUCUAGGAACAUAAUUAAGAAUGAUAUACUGAAGAUUUUUGACAAUUUGAAAUCAAAAACUUCUAUGUUAUUGGAAAUACUCACAAGUAAAAUUGCAAUAACAACUGAUAUGUGGACUUCGGACAAUACCAAAAAGGGUUCAUGGUAUUACAACACAUUUUAUCGAUGAUUCAUGGGGAGUUCAAAGCCAUAUUCUUAGAUUUAUUUCCUGCCCUACAUGAUAAGGAUACUUUGUGCAGUGCGUUGCUUAAUUGCUUAGUGGAAUCUUGAAAGAAGAACUUCAACAAUUACAAUUGAUAAUUGUAGCACAAACAAUGCUAUGAUUAAAACCUUGCUAGAUGAGAAACUUUGUAAAAGGGAUUUAUUGUUUAUGGAUCCAAUGUUACAUGUGCGUUAUGCCACACAUAUCUUGAAUUUGAUUGUGCAAGAAGGACUAAAGGUGAUGCAAGAUUGUAUUAAUAAUGUGCGUGAAAGUGUCUUAUAUUGGAUAGGGUCUUCAGGCAGAAUCAAAACGUUUGAAGAAGCUACAUGAUUGCUACAUACUUCUUGUAACAAAAAGUUAGAGUAUGACUGUCCAACUCGUUGGAACUCAACAUAUCUAAUACUGAGAACAACCCUAGAAUACAAAGAUGUAUUUAUGAAGUUGAUCCUCAAUGGCUUUAGAAGUUUUCCAACCGAAUUGCAAUGGAAUGCAGCACCCCUAUAGAUCCACCUUUCUUCAAAAUAAAGAUAUAGCAACUAAAAGAAAGCUAAAUCGAAUCGGAAUAGGAUAAAGAACGCACGAAGGAUCAGAGAGAAAGAGGAUUCUAAAAGCGAAAAGCCUAGAAGACUAGAUUGUCAGACUCGGAGGUAGCAGUAAGAUCUCUGUCUCCAGAGAAGGCAUGAGGUUUUUCUAAAAGUCUCCUCUCAUUACUUAUGGAUAAAGCUCUUAAGCUUAAGCUUUUACGAACUGAAAGAUCUUCCCAUUCUAAAUAAGAAUGAGAGUCUUUCAACUAAAAGAAAGCUAAAUCGAAUCGGAAUAGGAUAAAGAACGCACGAAGGAUCAGAGAGAAAGAGGAUUCUAAAAGCGAAAAGCCUAGAAGACUAGAUUGUCAGACUCGGAGGUAGCAGUAAGAUCUCUGUCUCCAGAGAAGGCAUGAGGUUUUUCUAAAAGUCUCCUCUCAUUACUUAUGGAUAAAGCUCUUAAGCUUAAGCUUUUACGAACUGAAAGAUCUUCCCAUUCUAAAUAAGAAUGAGAGUCUGAAGUUUGUGAUACAUUAAAGCUUUUCUACCAUAUUACUGAAGAAUUCUCAGGGACCCAAUAUCCCACUUCUAUUCAAAAUUUUUCUAAAGUUUAUGAUAUUAAGCUAGAAUUGGAUGUCUUGGUGAAAAGUUUAAAUCCUUUGAUUAGCGCUAUAACAUCAACAAUGUUUUUGAAAUUUUAGAAAUAUUGGGAUAAAGUGCACAUUUUGAUAAGUGUAGCUGCUAUCUUUGAUCCGAGAUAUAAGAUGAGGUUGGUGGAAUUCUAUCUUAUACAUAUUUAUGGUGGAGAAGUUGCUUCAAAUAAAAUUCAAGAAGUUCGAAGCUAUUGUGUUGAUCUCUUUCAAGAAUAUAAGAGUAGAGGAGCUGAAUCAUCCCAAGCAUCUAGUUCAAGUAAAGUUGUUGGCUAUGUUGAGGGUAACCGACUGUCUAGUUUUGAUAGGUUUGUCGCGCUGAGUAGCUCGAACAUGGACACAAGAUUAGAAUUGGAUUCUUAUUUAGAAGAAAAUGUGCUACCCCACGCACCAUCAUUUGAUACUUUAAGUUGGUGGAAGACAAAUAGAUUAAAAUUUCUUAUUUUGUAAAAAAUGGCUCGUGAUCUCUUAGUCAUUCAUGUCUCUACUGUUGCUUCAGAAUUUGCAUUUAGUACUAGUGAGAGAUUGAUUAGUUCACAUCAUAGUAGACUUCAUCCUACUACUUUGGAGGCUUUAAUGUGUGCUCACACUUGGUUAUGGAACGGAAUAAAUGGUAAGUGAUUUUUUCAAUGACUUGUAAUGUUAAUAGUAAAUUUCAAUUUUUAAUACCAUAUAUGUUUCUUUUUAGGUUUGGCUUCAACAGUCAAGACAGUUUCAUGUCCAACAUUACUUGACAAAGAGGAAGAGCCAGAUUCAAGUUGGCUUGUUGGUCGAUAGAGGAGAAAGAGAAUGUCAUUUAUUAAUACAAUUUCUGUUUGAUUCAAGUUGGCUUAUUAUAGUUUGUUGAUACAAUUUCUUGUGAUUUUGUAAUUUGAAUUUGAUAGAUUUUGUUGAGUAUAGACUUUGCUGUUCAGACUUUGUGGCUUAUCUUUAGUUUAUCUUUUAUCUUUUUUUUUUUUUUGGUUUUGCGGUAGUUUGUUGAUAUAAAAUGUUCAAAAUGCUUUAUAGAAUGAGGAAAACUGCGUUUCCAUCAAUACAUAAGUAAAGAUGAAGUAAAUGCUAAAUAGCCAAUUAG